UGUUUCGGCUAGGGGGCCAUCCCGGCUUACCAACCCGAUGCAAACUGCGAAUACCGGAGAAUGUUAUCACGGGAGACACACGGCGGGUGCUAACGUCCGUCGUGAAGAGGGAAACAACCCAGACCGCCAGCUAAGGUCCCAAAGUCAUGGUUAAGUGGGAAACGAUGUGGGAAGGCCCAGACAGCCAGGAUGUUGGCUUAGAAGCAGCCAUCAUUUAAAGAAAGCGUAAUAGCUCACUGGUCGAGUCGGCCUGCGCGGAAGAUGUAACGGGGCUAAACCAUGCACCGAAGCUGCGGCAGCGACACUCAGGUGUUGUUGGGUAGGGGAGCGUUCUGUAAGCCUGCGAAGGUGGCCUGUGAGGGUUGCUGGAGGUAUCAGAAGUGCGAAUGCUGACAUAAGUAACGAUAAAGCGGGUGAAAAGCCCGCUCGCCGGAAGACCAAGGGUUCCUGUCCAACGUUAAUCGGGGCAGGGUGAGUCGACCCCUAAGGCGAGGCCGAAAGGCGUAGUCGAUGGGAAACGGGUUAAUAUUCCCGUACUUGGUGUUACUGCGAAGGGGGGACGGAGAAGGCUAUGUUGGCCGGGCGACGGUUGUCCCGGUUUAAGCGUGUAGGUGUGUGUUCCAGGUAAAUCCGGUUCACUUUAACACUGAGGCGUGA
RNAcentral lists this ribosomal RNA (657 nucleotides) under Salmonella enterica. RNAcentral describes it as "partial 23S ribosomal RNA". It matches the Rfam family "Bacterial large subunit ribosomal RNA", at positions 911 to 1566 of the family's 2925-position model. RNAcentral also lists the same sequence under 2 other names. Lineage: Bacteria; Pseudomonadati; Pseudomonadota; Gammaproteobacteria; Enterobacterales; Enterobacteriaceae. The record is from RNAcentral.